AGUAGAAUGGCUGAUAAAUAAGCUAUAGGUUGUAACCCUAUUUAUGGAGAUUACCCUCUCCUUCUCCUA
This 69-nucleotide transfer RNA is filed under the name Paratimomenus flavocapitatus. RNAcentral describes it as "tRNA-Tyr". Lineage: Eukaryota; Metazoa; Arthropoda; Insecta; Dermaptera; Forficulidae. The record is from RNAcentral.